CAAAUCAUAUAGGUCCCAGGUGACGUGCGACUGUAUCAAGAAUCGUCGGCGUAGAAUAGGGAAGCUGGUGAAAAUCCAGCGCGAGCCCGUCACUGUAAUCGGGGAGUAAGCCAUAGAUGCCACUGGCAAGAGCGGGGUUAAAUCCGCAAAGGCCGGGAAGGUGUGGCAAGCGAAGAUCCGGAAGCCAGGAGACCUGCCUGGGACAUGCAAGGGAG
Molecule: non-coding RNA, 215 nt
Filed under: Chloroflexota bacterium
Lineage: Bacteria; Bacillati; Chloroflexota
Source: RNAcentral